AGGACUAACGCUGGCGGCGUGCCUAACACAUGCAAGUCGAACGAAGUAGCAAUACUUAGUGGCAGACGGGUGAGUAACACGUAGUCAACCUGCCCUUCAAUGGGGGAUAACUAGCCGAAAGGUUAGCUAAUACCGCAUACGAUCUCUGAGUGGCAUCACUCGGCGAUGAAAGGAGUAAUCCGUUGAAGGAGGGGACUGCGUCCCAUUAGUUAGUUGGUGGGGUAAUGGCCUACCAAGACUCCGAUGGGUAGCUGGCUUGAGAGAGCGACCAGCCACACUGGAACUGAGACACGGUCCAGACUCCUACGGAGGCAGCAGUGAGGAAUUUUCCGCAAUGGGGGAAACCCUGACGGAGCGACGCCGCGUGUGGGAAGAAGGCCUUCGGGUCGUAAACCACUGUCGAAGGGGACGAUAUUGACGGUACCCCUGGAGGAAGCCCGGCUAACUACGCGCCAGCAGCCGC
This 463-nucleotide ribosomal RNA is filed under the name uncultured bacterium. RNAcentral's name for it is "SSU rRNA". It matches the Rfam family "Bacterial small subunit ribosomal RNA", at positions 26 to 518 of the family's 1533-position model. The record is from RNAcentral.